This is a regulatory RNA element of Oryctolagus cuniculus (rabbit), 46 nucleotides long. It matches the Rfam family "Histone 3' UTR stem-loop". Rfam says of the family: The mRNAs of metazoan histone genes lack a poly-A tail. 3' end processing occurs at a site between a highly conserved stem-loop (modelled by this family) and a purine rich region around 20 nts downstream (the histone downstream element, or HDE). The record is from Rfam. Lineage: Eukaryota; Metazoa; Chordata; Mammalia; Lagomorpha; Leporidae.
ACAAAGGCUCUUUUCAGAGCCACCCACAGCUUUCAUGAAAACUGCU